Long non-coding RNA from Salvia miltiorrhiza (redroot sage), 222 nucleotides. RefSeq lists it as uncharacterized. The record is from RefSeq and is a predicted model, not a curated record. Lineage: Eukaryota; Viridiplantae; Streptophyta; Magnoliopsida; Lamiales; Lamiaceae. The transcript has 2 exons.
GUCUGAUGCUUUUGUAUUAUCUUUCUUGCAACCAAAAGCGAGAUGACUUGUUGUUGAGGAGAUUUCAGUUGCAUGUUAACCUGUAGAGUUCUUCUGCGAAAAAUUUGGUGCUCCAUAUGAUGUAGUUAGAGGUGUUUAUGAAUAUUUUGGAUUUGGAUAGGAUUUAUAUAUGUGGUCAGUUUGACAAACAAAUGAAUAUAUGAAAUAGAAAAUGAUUCAAUG